UACGGAGGGGGCUAGCGUUGUUCGGAAUUACUGGGCGUAAAGCGCACGUAGGCGGCUUUGCAAGUCAGAGGUGAAAGCCCGGGGCUCAACCCCGGAAUUGCCUUUGAGACUGCAUCGCUAGAAUUGUGGAGAGGUAAGUGGAAUUCCGAGUGUAGAGGUGAAAUUCGUAGAUAUUCGGAAGAACACCAGUGGCGAAGGACGAACUU
This 206-nucleotide ribosomal RNA is filed under the name uncultured bacterium. RNAcentral describes it as "partial 16S ribosomal RNA". It matches the Rfam family "Bacterial small subunit ribosomal RNA", at positions 524 to 727 of the family's 1533-position model. The record is from RNAcentral.